GACGAACGCUGGCGGCGUGCUUAACACAUGCAAGUCGAACGGAAAGGCCCUGCUUUUGUGGGGUGCUCGAGUGGCGAACGGGUGAGUAACACGUGAGUAACCUGCCCUUGACUUUGGGAUAACUUCAGGAAACUGGGGCUAAUAUCGGAUAGGAGCUCCUGCUGCAUGGUGUGGGUUGGAAAGUUUCGGUUGUGGUGGAUGGACUCGCGGCUUAUCAGCUUGAUUGUGGGGUUGUUGCUUACCAAGGUUUUGACGGGUAGCCGGCCUGGGAGGGUGACCGGCCACAAUGGGACUGAGGGACGGCCCAGACGCGUACGGGAGGCAGCAGUGGGGAAUAUUGCACAAUGGGCGGAAGCCUGAUGCAGCAACGCCGCGUGCGUGAUGACGGCCUUCGGGUGGUAAACAGAUUUGGAAUGUGACAAAGCGUGAGUGACGGUAAUGGGUCAGGAAGCACCGGCUAACUACGUG
This 468-nucleotide ribosomal RNA is filed under the name uncultured bacterium. RNAcentral's name for it is "partial 16S ribosomal RNA". It matches the Rfam family "Bacterial small subunit ribosomal RNA", at positions 28 to 507 of the family's 1533-position model. The record is from RNAcentral.